Molecule: long non-coding RNA, 404 nt
Organism: Girardinichthys multiradiatus
Lineage: Eukaryota; Metazoa; Chordata; Actinopteri; Cyprinodontiformes; Goodeidae
Exons: 3
Source: RefSeq, a predicted model, not a curated record
AUUUGUAAACUGUAACCUGCAUUUUUGUUGCUUUUUCUUGUAAUGGCUUCUUCCUCACUGAGUGGUCUUUUAGCCUAUGUUGGUACAGCACAUGCUUUACCUGUUUAAGCCAACAUCUUCACAAGAUGAAAGCUUUCUUCAGAGGAUCUCUCCUGUGGGUGAGUGUGCAGCCAGCAGCUUAUUGCACCUGCUGACAUUUAUCUCUAUCUGGGAUGCUAAUGAUUUAAGGAGCUGCUGGAUGACCAGUCUUUGCCUGAUGCUCAGCCUUGCAGGUUGAAAACGCCUGUGCAACUCCUGCAAACCUCUCUGAGCUUAAAGGUUCAUGAACUCCUUCCACGUUCGAUCCUCGCAGCUGUAGCAUCCUCAGCAGCCAGCUGCCUGCCUGCUCUCCAAAUGCUGUAAGC